RNAcentral lists this ribosomal RNA (1157 nucleotides) under Thermotoga sp. enrichment culture. RNAcentral describes it as "bacterial SSU rRNA". It matches the Rfam family "Bacterial small subunit ribosomal RNA", at positions 28 to 1148 of the family's 1533-position model. Lineage: Bacteria; Thermotogati; Thermotogota; Thermotogae; Thermotogales; Thermotogaceae. The record is from RNAcentral.
GGUGAACGCUGGCGGCGUGCUUAACACAUGCAAGUCGCGCGGGGAAACCCCUUCGGGGGGAGUACCAGCGGCGCACGGGUGAGUAACACGUGGGUAACCUACCCCUCAGCGGGGGAUAACCGGGGGAAACUCCGGCUAAUACCCCAUAUUAUCCGGUGACGACAGUUGCUGGAUGAAAGGAGCGUUUGCUUCGUUGAGGGAUGGGCCCGCGGCCCAUCAGGUAGUUGGUGAGGUAAUGGCUCACCAAGCCUACGACGGGUAGCCGACCUGAGAGGGUGACCGGCCACAAGGGCACUGAGACACGGGCCCUACUCCUACGGGAGGCAGCAGUGGGGAAUUUUGGACAAUGGGCGAAAGCCUGAUCCAGCGACGCCGCGUGAGGGACGAAGCCCUUCGGGGUGUAAACCUCUGUUGUGAGGGACGAAUAAGAUCUGGAGGAAAUGCCAGAUCGAUGACGGUACCUCACGAGAAAGCCCCGGCUAACUACGUGCCAGCAGCCGCGGUAAUACGUAGGGGGCGAGCGUUACCCGGAUUCACUGGGCGUAAAGGGGGCGCAGGCGAUCCAGUAUGUCGGGUGUGAAAUCCCACAGCUCAACUGUGGAAUUGCGCCCGAAACUACUGGGUUUGGGGCUGGUAGAGGGAGACGGAACUGCUGGUGUAGGGGUGAAAUCCGUAGAUAUCAGCAGGAACGCCGGUGGGGAAGCCGGUCUCCUGGGCCAAGCCCGACGCUGAGGCCCGAAAGCUAGGGGAGCAAACCGGAUUAGAUACCCGGGUAGUCCUAGCCGUAAACGAUGCCCACUAGGUGUGGGGGAGUCAUUCCUCCGUGCUGUAGCUAACGCGUUAAGUGGGCCGCCUGGGGAGUACGCCCGCAAGGUGAAACUCAAAGGAAUUGGCGGGACCCGCACAGCGGUGGAGCGUGUGGUUUAAUUGGAUGCUAGCAGACUUACAGGCUGACAUGCAGGUGGUACACCCGAAGGAGGACCCUUUCUUUGAAGGGAGCUGCACAGUGUGCACGCGUCGUCAGCUCUGCUGAGGUUGGUAGUCCGCACGAGGCACUCCUGCCUAGUGCAACGAUCGCGGACCUCUAGCACGGGGACAAGUCGAAGAAGAGGGACACGCUCGAAUCUGCUUAGCUGGUCAACGCCUCUCAAUGGGAU